GUGUUUAACCAAGAUGGGCGGGGCAGCCCUGAGGACUAGGGUUUAAAGUAGAUGUGUCAUGCUGUCGCCAAGCAGACGGCGUAUCAAUCAACAUGAUUCCCAUUGUUCUGGCCUCAGUGCUCAUCGCUAGUGCCUUCGGGUGCGGCACCCCUCCUAUUGAGCCUCUGACCACCCGUGUGGUCAAUGGAGUCGACGCCAAGCCUCACAGCUGGCCCUGGCAGAUCUCUCUGCAGUAUGAGAGGGACGGUGAGUGGAGACACACCUGUGGAGGAUCUCUGAUUGCCACCAACUGGGUCAUGACCGCUGCGCACUGUAUCAACCUCAACCUGUCCUACAGAGUGUUCGUUGGAAAGCACAACCUGGUUGAGACUGAGGAAGGCUCCCAGGCCAUCAUCCCUGAGAAGCUUGUUGUCCAUGAGAAGUGGAACCCCAUCUUUGUGGCCUUCGGAAAUGACAUUGCCCUGAUCAAGUUGUCUGAGCAUGUGACCCUGACUGACCAUGUGCAGCUUGGCUGUAUCCCUGCUGCUGGCACUGUGCUGGACAACCAGUACCCCUGUUACAUCACUGGCUGGGGAAGGGUCUACAGUAAGCCUCUCUCUGUGUGUGUGUGUGUGUGUGUGUGUGUGUUUGAUGAUCACUUUCAUGUGUGUUCCUGUAGGGUAACUAGCUGCAGAUUGACAUGUGUGUGUGUUUUAGCCGGAGGCCCCAUUGCUGAUAACCUGCAGCAGGCUCUGAUGCCUGUGGUGGACCACGCCACCUGCUCCAAGCCCGACUGGUGGGGAAUUGCUCUCAGGACCACCAUGGUGUGUGCCGGAGGAGAUGGCAUUGUCGCUGGCUGUAACGUGAGUACCCCUGGGAGAUGUGAGAGGCAGAGAGACACAGAGAAAGAAAAAGAGAAACAGAGAGUAUGUAUUGUGUGUGAUAUGUGUGUUUGUGCAUGAGCAUAUUUUUUGUUUGUUUGUUUAUAUAUAUGUGUGUGUGUGUGUGUGUGUGUGUGUGUGUGUGUGUGUGUGUGUGUGUGUGUGUGUGUGUGUGUGUGUGUGUGUGUGUGUGUGUGUGUGUGUGUGUGUGUGUGUGUGUGUGUGUGUGUGCCUGUGUACAUGUGAGUGUUUAUGUGUUACUGUUAGUGUUUGUGUUGUGUGUGUGAGAGUGGGGGUGUGAGAGUAACACAUUAGUGAAUUACAUUCACUCCUCUACGUAUUUUUUUGUACAGUGAUGCUAAAAGAUUUAAUUUGGCUCUAUGCUCAAGCAUUUUGGAUUUGAGAGGAAAUGCUUCUUAUGAGGCGAUAGUACCGGAUUUCACCUUUUAAUUGAUAGUAUUUUCAUACAUAUCUGUUCCACCGUUUAGAAAUGAAAGCACUUUCUGUACAGUUUCAAAUCCCCCCAUUUGCAUUUGGACAAAUUCACUUAGAGUGUAUUAAAGUACUCAAAGAAUGUAGUAUUUGGUCCCAUUUUCAUAGGACGCAAUGACUACAUCAUGCUUGUGACUACAAACUUGUUGGAUGCAUUUGCAGUUUGUUGUGGUUGUGUUUCGGAUUAUGUAGUGUCUCUUUCUCACUCAUCAUUAUUCACAAUUCAUUCAUGAUUGUCCGUAACUAUGGUAGCAUCCACAUUAACGUAGUAGAUUUCAGAAACUAAUUCUAUUGUUAUUUACAAUACAAGCGUCUCCAAAAUGACACAAUACAUAAUUUACCAUUAAUUAUUUUGGGCAUAACAUAACAAAACAAACCAAAACAAAAUGCAAAUGCAUCCAACAAGUUCAUAGAGUCACAAGCUUGGAAUAUGGGACUAAAAACUACAAGUUUUGACUACUUUAAUACACAUUAAGUGAAUACGUAUGGGGACAAGAUACAUAAAAUGCUUUCAGCUCUAAACUCUAAAUACUCUCUAAUAAAGGUUACAUUCUGUACUGUCACCUCAUAUGAAAUAUUUUAUUUCAAAUCCAAAAUGCUUGCAUAGAGAUACUAUUUUUAGCUUCAGUGUUCAAAUAGAUGUAUCUUUCUCAACACCCCUUGGGUGCGGCAACCUUCCCAUCGAGCCUCUGACCACCCAUGUGGUCAAUUGAGUGGACACCAAGCCCUACAUAGUUUUAAUUUGAAUGAAAUGUUUCAUAUCCAAAUAAAUGCAUAGAUAUCCAAAUAAAUGCAUAGAUAUCCAAAUAAAUGCAUAGAUAUCCAAAUAAAUGCAUAGAUAUCCAAAUAAAUGCAUACAGUGGUUAUCAUGUAUAACAUGUUAUAACAUGUUAUCAAGUAUUUACACACCUUGGAUAUUUUUUCACAAUUUGUUGAUUUACAAAGUGGCAUUAAAAUGGAUCUACACAAAAUACUCCAUAAUGUCAAAGUGAAAAGAACAUUUGUACAGAUGUUUACCAAUUAAUAGAAAUGUAAUAACUAAAAUACACAUCUUGUAUGCAACAAGACACUAAAGUAAUAUUGCAAAACUACAUGGCAAAGGAAUAUACUUUUUGUCCUAAAUGCAAAGUUUUAUCUUUGGGGCAAAUCCAACACAACACAUCACUGAGUAACUGCCUCCUUAUUGUCAAGUUUGGUGAUGGCUGCAUUAUGGUAUGGGUGUACUUGACAUCGGCGAAGACUGGGGAGUUUUUCAGAAUGGAGCUAAGCACAGGCGAAAUCCUAGAGAAAAACCUGCUUCAGUCUGCUUUACACUAGACACUGGGAGAGUAAUUCACCUUUCAGCAGGACAAUAACCUACAACACAAGGCCAAAUCUAUCUACCAAGAAGACAGUCAAUGGCCAAGUUACAGUUUUGACUUAAAUCUGCUUGAAAAUCUAUGGCAAGACUUAAAAAUUGCCAUCUAGUCAUAAUCCCCAAAACCACAGAGCUUGAAGAAUUGUGAAAAGAAUAAUGGGCAGAUAUUGCACAAUCCAGAUGUACAAAGGUCUUAGAGACGUAGUCAAUGAGGCUCUCAGCUGUAAUCACUGCCAAAGGUGUUUCUAACACGUAUUGACUCAUGUUUACAUUUUUCUUCCAUUUACAAAGUAUUUUGUGAGAUCAUUGAUUUAUAUUGACAAUUUAAUCUAUUUUAAUCCCACUGUGUAAUGCAAUAAAAUGUGAAGAAAUCCAAGGGGGGGGUGAAUAUAUGCCUUGUUGCAUGUCUUUGGUUAAGUAUGAAAUCAAUUCCCUCUUCUUCUCCUAUAGGGUGACUCUGGUGGGCCCCUGAACUGCAAGAACCCAGAGGGAGUAUGGGAGGUCCAUGGUAUUGCCAGCUUUGUUUCUGGUCUGGGCUGCAACUACGCGAAGAAGCCCACCGUCUUCACCCGCGUCUCCAACUUCAAUGACUGGAUCGACCAGGCUAUGAUGAGCAACUAAAGUGGAGCAGAAUGGGGAAUUGAGUCCAAUAAAAAAGGACUCAGCAAAAUGGCUUUGUGAUGUAUUUUAUGUUCAUGCCACAAGAUGUCCUCAGUCACUCAAGAUAAAGAGAAGUGAUUUCCAUAAGAUGUUUCCGUUGUUGGAGGUCUAUCUAUACAUGUAUCUCCAUACAUUCAGUACUUGAUCAA
Oncorhynchus kisutch (coho salmon) is the source of this 3518-nucleotide RNA transcript. It is a transcript of the gene named elastase 3 like, with no coding region annotated. The transcript has 6 exons. NCBI's taxonomy places the organism in Eukaryota, Metazoa, Chordata, Actinopteri, Salmoniformes, Salmonidae. The record is from RefSeq and is a predicted model, not a curated record.